CCUACGGGUGGCAGCAGUGAGGAAUAUUGGUCAAUGGGCUUACGCCUGAACCAGCCAAGUCGCGUGAGGGAAGACUGCCCUAUGGGUUGUAAACUUCUUUUAUAUGGGAAUAAAACGUUCCACGUGUGGGAUUUUGUAUGUACCAUAUGAAUAAGGAUCGGCUAACUCCGUGCCAGCAGCCGCGGUAAUACGGAGGAUCCGAGCGUUAUCCGGAUUUAUUGGGUUUAAAGGGAGCGUAGGUGGAUUGUUAAGUCAGUUGUGAAAGUUUGCGGCUCAACCGUAAAAUUGCAGUUGAAACUGGCAGUCUUGAGUACAGUAGAGGUGGGCGGAAUUCGUGGUGUAGCGGUGAAAUGCUUAGAUAUCACGAAGAACUCCGAUUGCGAAGGCAGUUCACUGGACUGCAACUGACACUGAGGCUCGAAAGUGUGGGUAUCAAACAGGAUUAGAUACCCCUGUAGUC
This 460-nucleotide ribosomal RNA is filed under the name uncultured bacterium. RNAcentral's name for it is "partial 16S ribosomal RNA". It matches the Rfam family "Bacterial small subunit ribosomal RNA", at positions 338 to 795 of the family's 1533-position model. The record is from RNAcentral.